This is a long non-coding RNA of Portunus trituberculatus (swimming crab), 391 nucleotides long. RefSeq lists it as uncharacterized. NCBI's taxonomy places the organism in Eukaryota, Metazoa, Arthropoda, Malacostraca, Decapoda, Portunidae. The record is from RefSeq and is a predicted model, not a curated record. The transcript has 3 exons.
CUUUCCCCAUUUGAGUCACAGCUUUGGACCGCGGUGGACGGACGGCGCCGGGAGAAAAUUUGUGAUGUUGGAUUCCUUUAACACCAACCAUCAGAUGAUAUAACCAGUGUUUGCUGACCUGAUGAUGCUGCAAUACUGCAAAGAGGAGUACUGCAAUGGCACACCUUCCUCACACAACAGAAAUAACACUCCAGGCUGAUGUGUUGCUGUCAAAGGUUCAGGAGUGAGGGCAAGCCACCCAGCAGGGACCUUGGAGGGCUGGCCGUGGAAGUGCCUUCACUAUUAAUAAUACUCCUACACACAACUACUUACUGUGCAUAAUGUCAGCUGUGUUGCUGGUGAUCUGUAAGCCAUUUUGACAUUUAUUUUUUUAAUAAAAAAUACAGCCUUU